AUACGUAGGGGGCAAGCGUUAUCCGGAAUUAUUGGGCGUAAAGAGUACGUAGGCGGUUCUGUAAGCGUGAGGUGAAAGCCCGGGGCUUAACUCCGGUAAGCCUUUCGAACUGCAGGACUUGAGUGCUUGAGGGGAAAGUGGAAUUCCUAGUGUAGCGGUGAAAUGCGUAGAUAUUAGGAGGUACACCAGUGGCGAAGGCGACUUUCUGGACAGUAACUGACGCUGAGGUACGAAAGCGUGGGGAGCAAACAGGAUUAGAUACCCUGGUAGUCCACGCUGUAAACGAUGAGCACUAGGUGUCGGGCUAGCAAUAGUUCGGUGCCGCAGUUAACGCAAUAAGUGCUCCGCCUGGGGAGUACGCACGCAAGUGUGAAACUCAAAGGAAUUGACGGGG
Molecule: ribosomal RNA, 394 nt
Filed under: uncultured bacterium
Lineage: Bacteria
Description: partial 16S ribosomal RNA
Rfam family: Bacterial small subunit ribosomal RNA
Source: RNAcentral